CUCUCUCUCUCUCUCUCUCAUUUCGUGUUUAGAUUAAGAUCCUAAGAUUUUGAAAAGGGGAGGUAUUGAAAAUUUGGUCUUUCAAACUUUCUAACACAAAUUGGCAUCAAAUCGAAGGUGUUGAAACUCUGCUAAGCCUUUAACAGAUUGUUUAAGAGGAAAUUUUUGGAGAUAAAUAAUGGAUUUUUUAAAUGAGGCAAGGUUUUUAAAAGUUUCAAAAUCUUCAAAACCUUCACUUUUUCAACUCAUCGGGCAUAGUUAUUAAAGGUGUGCACCAAAAUCUCAUCAAACUAACAAACUCAGGAUUACAAACCUCCUAUAUUUUAAUUUUCAAUACUACUAA
RNAcentral lists this unclassified non-coding RNA (343 nucleotides) under Hevea brasiliensis (rubber tree). Lineage: Eukaryota; Viridiplantae; Streptophyta; Magnoliopsida; Malpighiales; Euphorbiaceae. The record is from RNAcentral.